CCUACGAAACCGCUAUUAAGCCUCUUUGUUUAAUUCCAACUGCACUUAAACAAAUCAUUAUCUAUGAAUAAGAGUAGUUCACUCUUAAAAGCUACAGUUUACGAGCUAUAGGAGCGCAGGAAAUUAAGUAAACUAGCACAUUCGGUUAAUACCCAAUGGGCCAUGCAAAGCAUUCUGAGCCCCCCAACUUGGUGCUUUUGAAAUAGGCAACUAAUCACUUGUGCAUGGGCCCAGCACAUGAAAAUUUAUCUUUUUAUCUGCUUUGUUUACAGCUGCCAGAUUCGGCGACCCUUUGAAAUGUGCAGCGGUGUUCCAGAGCUUCAGUCAUCUCCAAAGUUCUCAAUUAAAACCCACUGCUCACAAGCUGAGAGGAAUGAAGAGGAAUGCUCAAUGUGGAACAUCUGCAAACAUCACAUCAGAGAGGCUCAAAACCCCCACCUCAAAAUGCCUGCUGAUUUAUGAGACCAGGCAAAGAAGAGAAACAGCCGUGUCACUGCUAUACGAUCAACAAAACGACCCAAACCAGCAUGGUGACGCCCACUGAAACAUCCAGUAGGUAUGUGCUACUGAGCAUGUGAGUGCUUUAUGUAUUUGCCAUUAUUGCUGGUGGUUGCUAGGGUGCU
Cyprinus carpio (common carp) is the source of this 623-nucleotide long non-coding RNA. NCBI's taxonomy places the organism in Eukaryota, Metazoa, Chordata, Actinopteri, Cypriniformes, Cyprinidae. The record is from Ensembl.